Molecule: long non-coding RNA, 544 nt
Filed under: Ananas comosus (pineapple)
Lineage: Eukaryota; Viridiplantae; Streptophyta; Magnoliopsida; Poales; Bromeliaceae
Description: long non-coding RNA (ACOM_LNC017723)
Source: RNAcentral
AGUUAAGAAACCCGCAUGAUGCGGCGGGUAGACUAUUAUUAUAAUUAAUCACUACGGCGUGUAGAUUAAUGCGGAUUUUAGUAUUAUAAUUUAUAUUAGAAAAAUAAUCAAUAAUAUAUAAUUAUCGAAGAACACAAAUUCACUUAUCAUAUGUAGCUACCAUAAAUUAUGUGCAUUAAUAUUUUUAAGUAUUACCGACCGUCCCUAGAGCAAGUGGCAAAGGGCUUGGUGGUUGGUACCCGANUUUCAGUUUAAAAAUUUAAAUUCAAUUAUAGAGUAAUAUUAUUAUUUUCUAUUUAUAACUACCAACUAUUCCACCUUAUACUCACAUUUUUAUCUAAACAUAAUUUUUCUAGUUCUAUCUUAUACUCACAUUUUCAUCCAAAAAAGAAAAAACCCUUGUUUCUACGAAAAUUCAUACUUGUACAUAUCCCCAGUAUAAUUAGUUCUUGCUUAUACCUGAACCAAACGAAGCCGAAUCGUGUUUCGAACUCUUGAAUUCAAGACUUUUAUUCCAUCCAUCAUAAAAUAUGCCAAUACUAAC